GUGGGGAAUCUUGCGCAAUGGGCGAAAGCCUGACGCAGCCAUGCCGCGUGAAUGAUGAAGGUCUUAGGAUUGUAAAAUUCUUUCACCGGGGACGAUAAUGACGGUGCCCGGAGAAGAAGCUCCGGCUAACUUCGUGCCAGCAGCCGCGGUAAUACGAAGGGGGCUAGCGUGGCUCGGAAUUACUGGGCGUAAAGGGCGCGUAGGCGGAUAGUUUAGUCAGAGGUGAAAGCCCAGGGCUCAACCUUGGAAUUGCCUUGGAUACUGGCUAUCUUGAGUAUGGAAGAGGUAUGUGGAACUCCGAGUGUAGAGGUGAAAUUCGUAGAUAUUCGGAAGAACACCAGUGGCGAAGGCGACAUACUGGUCCAUUACUGACGCUGAGGCUCGAAAGCGUGGGGAGCAAACAGGAUUAGAUACCCCUGUAGUCC
RNAcentral lists this ribosomal RNA (425 nucleotides) under uncultured bacterium. RNAcentral's name for it is "partial 16S ribosomal RNA". It matches the Rfam family "Bacterial small subunit ribosomal RNA", at positions 354 to 796 of the family's 1533-position model. The record is from RNAcentral.